Molecule: long non-coding RNA, 370 nt
Filed under: Fukomys damarensis (Damara mole-rat)
Lineage: Eukaryota; Metazoa; Chordata; Mammalia; Rodentia; Bathyergidae
Description: lncRNA (ENSFDAG00000030168.1)
Source: RNAcentral
CUAUUAGCAAGUAAAGGGCUUGAGCCAGAAUGCAAAUCAAUGACUUUAUCAAGAGAGUCUUACUGAAAAAACAAAAACAAACAAAAAAUAUCAACUAAAAAACCAUCAGCAUGUGUUUAGAUUCAUAGCUGAUACUCAUUCUCACACAAUCUCCUCAUCUUUUUUCAGACAGUAACAGACUAUUCCUGGGCCGGCACUGGCACGUGGACCACUUGAAUAGCAUUACUGAAGCUUAAAAAUGAGGUAUCUCUACAUGUGUGGAUGUAAAAAGCAAACAGUUUACUCCAUUUCAAAUCUUACCAUGGACUUCUGUCUUCUUCUGAUUGACAUGAACAUUUACCGGCUUCCAGCAAAUUGAACUUUGUCCUGG